This 1411-nucleotide long non-coding RNA is filed under the name Felis catus (domestic cat). RNAcentral describes it as "lncRNA (ENSFCAG00000052033.1)". The record is from RNAcentral. Lineage: Eukaryota; Metazoa; Chordata; Mammalia; Carnivora; Felidae.
UAGCCAAGAAUUUGGAUGAAUCUGUCCUCUGCUCACUAGCCACAUGACCUUGGACAUGUUUAUUAGCUUUCCGAGCCUUCAUUUUCUCAGCUAUAAAAUGAGGUUAUUAUCUCAAAAAAUUGUUAUAAGCAUCAACAGAGAUAAGGAAUGAUUCCUGGUGAAAUCAUAAACGUCUUCUCCUGUCUCUGUACCUUACCCAGUUCUGGGGUGACCAGGUGAGUGCCUGGAGUGGCUGUCCCAUGGGUCAGAGCAAAGGUCACAUGUGCUUGAGGAAUCAGCACUAAAUCAGAUUUCACUAGCCAUCCUCCCUCCAGAGUGUUCCCUUUGGCUCUUUUUGUCUUCCCUAUCUCCUGUCUUUAAUCUCCCCUUCUUCCUUUCCCUUGUGUUCACUCAGCUAGCACUUUCUGAGAGGUUCUCUGUCCCAGAUACCCUGCUGGCUGGGGCAGUGCAUGAAUCACAUGCAGUUGAGAAUGUGAGCAGUGUCUUGCCUGGUGCUGACAGAGAACGGAAGAGGAGGGCCGUGCUCUAAGGGAGGCCUGUGCUGUGGGUUUACAGAGGGGCUGUCCUUUGGCGGGGGCAAGGCUAGAGGAGUGGUGGCCAGACAGGGGAAGUUUACACUAGGAAUAAGAUGUUUGAGCCUGUCUUUGAAGAACAGAUAAUGACUUUCUACACAGAGAAGAUGAGGGAGGCUGCCAUCCCCAGAACAUUUUGAUCCUAAAAUAUUGGAGCUAAAUUCGUCCUUUGAGAUCAGCUGACUCGAUGAUUACCAGACUCUGUGCACAGCCAAAUCAUCAGGAUGGUUUCCUAGGAGUGAUAUUUCCGGGCCAGAGUAAACGGCUAUGUGAAAUUGUUAGCUAUUGCCAGCUUGCCCAGGAAACUGAUUUCCAUCUGCAGCGAAUUAUAGCCAUGACAAUACAGCAACAGGACUGUGGCAGGGAGGAGACCCAGUGGCGAUCCCACCCUCUCUGCAGCAGGGGCGCACCUUGACCGACAGUUUGCCCCGUGCUGCCGCACCUGGGGCACUUCCCAAAUCCUGGCCCGAGAGGAGACACCAUCCCGCCACCCCGCCACCCCACCUUCCCGGCCCAAGGCUUCGGCUGCUCCGUGACAGGCAGGCAGAGGGCAUGUUAAAGCAAAAUCGGCCUCAUUAAACUGAAAAGUUCAAGCAAAUGUAGCAAUUUGUUAUCAGAGGGCAGUCAGCUCUCUCAGAAGACCAAGUGGGGACCAGAAGACGGGGCCAGGUGGCCUACAGCUGUGCUUUGAAGAAGACAGUCCGGGCCAGGGCUGGUCACCUCCCAUCUCUGGGAAGACAGCAGCCCACGCUUCUCUCAGCGUUGCUCUUUCAGCCUCUGCUGACAUCAAGGAUCUCCUGCAGAGGUCCUGACAGCUGGAGAGCGAGCUGCUUUUGUUU